Molecule: long non-coding RNA, 900 nt
Organism: Calypte anna (Anna's hummingbird)
Lineage: Eukaryota; Metazoa; Chordata; Aves; Apodiformes; Trochilidae
Exons: 3
Source: RefSeq, a predicted model, not a curated record
AAACACCGCAGAAACGACCCAAAAUCCCCCCCAAAUCGCCCUGAAAUGCCCCGAACUGGAGCCCAGCCAGCACGGAACGGCCAGGAAGCACCAAAUAGCCACCAAAGGAACACAGAAAAAGGGAUUUUGGGAAACAGGCACAGCACUGUGGACACUCUUGUCUCCAAUCAGAGAAGAUCUAGUCUUCUAAGAAGAGCAGUUUGGCCUUCUCAGAGGAGCUGUUCCUGUCCUUUCACUGAGAAUGGAGUCCUUAAACAAAGUGUGAAUUCAUCCCGAUGAGUUAGUGACUUCUGCCCAAUUCUUUGUACAACAAACACAAAUGCAUGCUCAGGUACUCCACCUGCCAAGCAGGGAAAAAAAAGUCCUACAGCACUUUGUGGAGAAAGAGGAAUGGGACAACUGCAUAUCACCAGUGGAGUUCCUCCUCCUCCUGGGACUGAGUGGUGUCCCCAGUCUUCAGGUGCCUCUCUUUCUCCUCUCUCUCAUGAUUUACCUGGUGAUGAUGUUUGGCAGCCUCCUCGUUGUUGUGCACCAGUGGCAGGUACUGGGUGAUAUCUGCUGGGCACCAUGUCUGAUGAUCAAGACAUGGCCAUAUGUCAACCCCUGAUCUACACAAGCCUCAUGGAGGGGAAAGUCUGUCUUCAGCUGGUGGCUGGCCCUUGGCUAGGAGGAUUACUGAUGGCUACCAGAGUCACUGGGCAUUUCUCGAGGUUACAGUUCUGUGGUCCCAAUGAAAUGAAUCACUUCUUCCAUGGUUUUGCCCCGUUGCUGGAGCUUGCCUGCAGUGACACCAGGGUGCUCAGACUGGUUACCUUCCUAAUCUGUGUCCUGGAUGUAGUCUUCCUCUCUCUGUUCCCAUUGGGAUCCUACAUCCGCAUCAUAGCUGCCAUCCUGAGGCUC